Non-coding RNA from Caenorhabditis elegans, 392 nucleotides. The record is from Ensembl. Lineage: Eukaryota; Metazoa; Nematoda; Chromadorea; Rhabditida; Rhabditidae.
CAAUUUUUCCACUGGAACCACGCAAUUUUUCUGAAUUUUCGAAAUAAAAAUCCAAGUUUUUGCAAAAAUUUUCAAAUAUCCGCCUAAAAUUCUCCAAUCUUUUUUAUAAUAUGUUCUGUAAUUUAUCUCCACACAUAUACACACAAUUAAUUCUUCUUGCACAACUACUAUUUGUACAUUUUAAUCAUUUUUUUUUCUCAUUUUAAUCUCUCCCUCUCCACCACCUCGUUCGAUGGCAUUUUUUUUCCAACAAAUCGUGUAAUACCCCCAAAAAAUCUAAAAGUGCUUCUUCUUCUUCUUCUCCAUUAUUUGUAUUAUUACUGCUACUGGAUGUGUGCUGCUGCUCCCCCUACCCCCGCCAAAAACUUAAAGAUUUUCACUUAAAUUUCUUC